UGCUUCUUGUCGGAGUGCCCAGUGUUGAAAAUGAAAAACACGGGCUGAGACCGUUUAUUCGGGAUCCGCGGAACCUGAUCAGGCUAAAACCUGCGAAGGGAACAAGAGUAAUUCGCCA
RNAcentral lists this non-coding RNA (118 nucleotides) under Trabulsiella guamensis. Its description in RNAcentral is "TPP sequence". It matches the Rfam family "TPP riboswitch aptamer (THI element)". Rfam says of the family: Vitamin B(1) in its active form thiamin pyrophosphate (TPP) is an essential coenzyme that is synthesised by coupling of pyrimidine and thiazole moieties in bacteria. The previously detected thiamin-regulatory element, thi box was extended, resulting in a new, highly conserved RNA secondary structure, the THI element, which is widely distributed in eubacteria and also occurs in some archaea. Lineage: Bacteria; Pseudomonadati; Pseudomonadota; Gammaproteobacteria; Enterobacterales; Enterobacteriaceae. The record is from RNAcentral.